This 253-nucleotide ribosomal RNA is filed under the name uncultured bacterium. RNAcentral's name for it is "partial 16S ribosomal RNA". It matches the Rfam family "Bacterial small subunit ribosomal RNA", at positions 524 to 776 of the family's 1533-position model. The record is from RNAcentral.
UACGGGGGGGGUAAGCGUUGUUCGGAAUUAUUGGGCGUAAAGGGCGCGUAGGCGGCCAACUAAGUCAGACGUGAAAUCCCUCGGCUUAACCGGGGAACUGCGUCUGAUACUGGAUGGCUUGAAUCCGGGAGAGGGAUGCGGAAUUCCAGGUGUAGCGGUGAAAUGCGUAGAUAUCUGGAGGAACACCGGUGGCGAAGGCGGCAUCCUGGACCGGCAUUGACGCUGAGGAGCGAAAGCCAGGGGAGCAAACGGG